AGACCUCUGAUCAGAAAAGACUACCCGCUGAAUUUAAGCAUAUCACUAAGCGGAGGAGAAGAAACUAACCAGGAUUUCCCUAGUAACGGCGAGCGAACCGGAAAGAGCCCAGCUUGAAAAU
RNAcentral lists this ribosomal RNA (121 nucleotides) under Leucobryum juniperoideum. RNAcentral's name for it is "partial 26S rRNA". It matches the Rfam family "Eukaryotic large subunit ribosomal RNA", at positions 1 to 121 of the family's 3401-position model. Lineage: Eukaryota; Viridiplantae; Streptophyta; Bryopsida; Dicranales; Leucobryaceae. The record is from RNAcentral.